RNAcentral lists this ribosomal RNA (417 nucleotides) under uncultured eukaryote. RNAcentral's name for it is "SSU rRNA". It matches the Rfam family "Eukaryotic small subunit ribosomal RNA", at positions 38 to 468 of the family's 1831-position model. The record is from RNAcentral.
CUUAGUCUACAAAGAUUAAGCCAUGCAUGUAGUAAGUAUAAGUAUUAAACAACGAAACUGCGAAUGGCUCAUUAAACAGUUAUAGUUUAUUGAUAAUCGAAAGUUACAUGGAUAACCGUGACAAAUUACAGCUAAUACAUGCAUCAAGACCUCUAUGAGGUUGUAAUUAUUAGUAUUAAACCAAUUGCUUCGGCAAUGUGAUGAAUCAUAGUAAUCGAACGAAUCGCAGAAUUCUGCGAUAAAUCAUUCAAGUUUCUGCCCUAUCAGCUUUGGAUGGUAGUGUAUUGGACUACCAUGGCUAUCACGGGUAACGGAGAAUUAGGGUUCGAUUCCGGAGAGGGAGCCUGAGAAACGGCUACCACAUCUACGGAGGGCAGCAGGCGCGAAAAUUGCCCAAUCCUGAUUCAGGGAGGCAGU